AUUGAACGCUGGCGGCAUGCUUUACACAUGCAAGUCGAACGGCAGCGCGGGGCAACCUGGCGGCGAGUGGCGAACGGGUGAGUAAUACAUCGGAACGUACCCAGAAGUGGGGGAUAACGUAGCGAAAGUUACGCUAAUACCGCAUACGUUCUACGGAAGAAAGUGGGGGACCUUCGGGCCUCAUGCUUUUGGAGCGGCCGAUGUCUGAUUAGCUAGUUGGUGAGGUAAAGGCUCACCAAGGCGACGAUCAGUAGCUGGUCUGAGAGGACGACCAGCCACACUGGGACUGAGACACGGCCCAGACUCCUACGGGAGGCAGCAGUGGGGAAUUUUGGACAAUGGGCGCAAGCCUGAUCCAGCAAUGCCGCGUGAGUGAAGAAGGCCUUCGGGUUGUAAAGCUCUUUUGUCAGGGAAGAAACGGCUGAGGAUAAUACCUUCGGCUAAUGACGGCACCUGAAGAAUAAGCACCGGCUAACUACGUG
RNAcentral lists this ribosomal RNA (482 nucleotides) under uncultured bacterium. Its description in RNAcentral is "partial 16S ribosomal RNA". It matches the Rfam family "Bacterial small subunit ribosomal RNA", at positions 30 to 507 of the family's 1533-position model. The record is from RNAcentral.